UGGGGAAUAUUGCACAAUGGGCGCAAGCCUGAUGCAGCCAUGCCGCGUGUAUGAAGAAGGCCUUCGGGUUGUAAAGUACUUUCAGCGGGGAGGAAGGGAGUAAAGUUAAUACCUUUGCUCAUUGACGUUACCCGCAGAAGAAGCACCGGCUAACUCCGUGCCAGCAGCCGCGGUAAUACGGAGGGUGCAAGCGUUAAUCGCAAUUACUGGGCGUAAAGCGCACGCAGGCGGUUUGUUAAGUCAGAUGUGAAAUCCCCGGGCUCAACCUGGGAACUGCAUCUGAUACUGGCAAGCUUGAGUCUCGUAGAGGGGGGUAGAAUUCCAGGUGUAGCGGUGAAAUGCGUAGAGAUCUGGAGGAAUACCGGUGGCGAAGGCGGCCCCCUGGACGAAGACUGACGCUCAGGUGCGAAAGCGUGGGGAGCAAACAGG
This 429-nucleotide ribosomal RNA is filed under the name Chloroflexota bacterium. RNAcentral's name for it is "Chloroflexi bacterium partial 16S ribosomal RNA". It matches the Rfam family "Bacterial small subunit ribosomal RNA", at positions 355 to 776 of the family's 1533-position model. The record is from RNAcentral. Lineage: Bacteria; Bacillati; Chloroflexota.